AGUCAAGGUGCUUUCGUAACAGAAAGAGAAUAGGGAAUGCGGUGAAAAUCCGCAGCAGCGCCCACUACUGUAAUCCGGACGAGGUUUCAGAGGAUUAUAUCCGCCACUGACCGCUUGUAGGUUGGGAAGGUAUGAGACGGAGGAUGAUGGAAAGUCAGGAGACCUGCCUUGAUGGGA
This 177-nucleotide non-coding RNA is filed under the name Candidatus Metalachnospira gallinarum. The record is from RNAcentral. Lineage: Bacteria; Bacillati; Bacillota; Clostridia.